Molecule: ribosomal RNA, 486 nt
Filed under: uncultured bacterium
Lineage: Bacteria
Description: partial 16S ribosomal RNA
Rfam family: Bacterial small subunit ribosomal RNA
Source: RNAcentral
AUUGAACGCUGGCGGCAUGCCUUACACAUGCAAGUCGAACGGCAGCACGGGUGCUUGCACCUGGUGGCGAGUGGCGAACGGGUGAGUAAUACAUCGGAACAUGUCCUGUAGUGGGGGAUAGCCCGGCAAAAGCCGGAUUAAUACCGCAUACGAUCUACGGAUGAAAGCGGGGGACCUUCGGGCCUCGCGCUAUAGGGUUGGCCGAUGGCUGAUUAGCUAGUUGGUGGGGUAAAGGCCUACCAAGGCGACGAUCAGUAGCUGGUCUGAGAGGACGACCAGCCACACUGGGACUGAGACACGGCCCAGACUCCUACGGGAGGCAGCAGUGGGGAAUUUUGGACAAUGGGCGAAAGCCUGAUCCAGCAAUGCCGCGUGUGUGAAGAAGGCCUUCGGGUUGUAAAGCACUUUUGUCCGGAAAGAAAUCCUUGGCCCUAAUACGGUCGGGGGAUGACGGUACCGGAAGAAUAAGCACCGGCUAACUACGUG